This 54-nucleotide microRNA precursor is filed under the name Pteropus alecto (black flying fox). Its description in RNAcentral is "microRNA pal-mir-9991 precursor". The record is from miRBase by way of RNAcentral. Lineage: Eukaryota; Metazoa; Chordata; Mammalia; Chiroptera; Pteropodidae.
UGUCAGUCUCGUCGGUCACAGGGAAGAAAAGCCGUGUGGUCGACGGGACGGGCC